AGGACUGCCAUGCGCUACUAGUCGCUGGAAAUAUUGAUCCAGUUUUGGGAGAGAGAAUUAGAGAAUUUGCACUGCAAAAUGAGGAUCAACAGCGAGUGGUGGAGAAUGUAUCCCGGGAUCUGUUAAGUGAACUGUGGACAUUUGGUGACAUGGCAACAGAACAAAGUGCACAACUAACAGAAGUUCAAAAGUCCAUGAAGGAUCUCAUGGAGGCUCGGGAGCAUCUCGUGCAGGAGAGGGAUCAUUUUUCCUUGGAAGUUGAAGAAACGGAGAAGGCUCUUGAGGGGGCAGAGCAGCUUUUAUUGGAGUAGAUACUGUAUGUGUGUAUAAGUGUGUGCUUGCUUUUAAUGUAAAUGUAAUUAUAAAACAUUUUGUAUAUUUCACCUAAUUCAAUUUAAGUUGUUAAUACUUGCAAAAAUAGUUGUUUUCACUCAGUCUUAUUUGAAUUGUCUGGAAGACUGCAAAUGUAAAAGCGGUUGGACUGCCCGUGUUAUUUUA
This is a non-coding RNA of Salvelinus sp. IW2-2015, 498 nucleotides long. The record is from RefSeq and is a predicted model, not a curated record. Lineage: Eukaryota; Metazoa; Chordata; Actinopteri; Salmoniformes; Salmonidae.